Molecule: long non-coding RNA, 1929 nt
Filed under: Anas platyrhynchos platyrhynchos (common mallard)
Lineage: Eukaryota; Metazoa; Chordata; Aves; Anseriformes; Anatidae
Description: lncRNA (ENSAPLG00000029075.1)
Source: RNAcentral
CCUCGUUCCUUACUGGUAUGUACUGGUGGGGCCUUUCUGGGUUACUGGGCCAUACUGGGCCCUUACUGGUCCAUACUGGUCCCCCCCCAGGUGGGCACGUGGGCGGCCGCCCGGCGUUUCGGGGCCCUGCACGCGGCCUGGGCCCUACUGGUGGCCGGGGCGGGCGCCUGCCUCCUGCGGGCUGGUUACUGGGGCUGCCUGCGGGUCAGCCACCCCCUGCCCCGCCACGCCUGAACACGCCUGGAACACGCCUGGGACACGCCUCGGACACGCCUGGGACACGCCUCGGACACGGGACACGCGUGGCGGACGCGUGUGGGGCGUGGGACACGCGGUGGGUGGGGUGGGGGCACGUUAAGGACGUGUUUGGGGCAUGGAACAUGUUAAGGACAUGGGAACAUGUUAAGGACAUGUGUAAGUCAUGGGACAUCCUCUGGACAUGCUUGGGGCAUGGGAACAUGUUAAGGACAUGGGAUGUGCUUCGGACGUGCUUCGGUCGUGGGAACAUGUGUCGGGCGUGGGAACAUGUUAAGGACACGCUUGGGUCAUGGAACAUGUUAAGGACAUGCUUAGGUCAUGCGAGAUCCAUUGGACACGCUUCGGUCAUGGGACAUGUUAAGGACAUGCUUAGGGCAUGCAACAUCCAUUGGACAUGUGUUGGGCAUGGGAACAUGCUUCGAUCAUGGGAACAUGUUAAGGACAUGCUUCAGUCAUGGGACAUCCAUUGGACACGCUUAAGUCAUGGGACAGCCAUCAGGCAUGAUUGCAUCAUGGAACAUGUUAAGGACAUGCUUAGGUCAUGUGACAUCCAUUGGACACGCUUGAGUCAUGGGACAUGCUUCAAACAUGCUUCAGUCAUGGGAUGUCCAUGGGACACGCCUGCAUCAUGCGAGAGCCAUCGGACAUGCUUGGGUCAUGGGACAUGUUAAGGACAUGCUUAGGUCAUGCGAGAUCCAUUGGACACACUUCGAUCAUGGGAACAUGUUAAGGACAUGCUUAACUCAUGGGACAUCCAUUGGACAUGCUUCAGUCAUGGGACACGUGUUGGACAUGCUUAAGUCAUGGAACAUGCUUCAAACAUGCUUCAGUCAUGGGAUGUCCAUCGCACACGCCUGCAUCAUGCGAGAGCCAUCGGACAUGCUUGAGUCAUGGGAACAUGCUAAGGACACGCUUAGGUCAUGGGUCAUCCACUGGACAUGCUUUGGUCAUGGGAACAUGUGUCGGUCAUGGGAACAUGUUAAGGACAUGCUUAAGUCAUGGAACAUGUUAAGGACAUGCUUAAAUCAUGGGAUGCCCAUUGGGCACGGCUGCAUCAUGGGGGAGCCAUCGGACACGCUUUGGUCAUGGGAACAUGCUAAGGACAUGCUUAGGUCAUGGCACAGCCAUCAGACACCUUUGAGUCAUGGAACAUGUUAAGAACACGCUUACGUCAUGGGACAUCCAUUGAACACGCUUCAGUCACGGGAACAUGUUAAGAACACACUAAGGUCACGGGAACACCCUGCGGUCACGUGACACGCGUCGGGCACGGGAACACGCUAAGGACACGCUAAGGUCACGUGAUCAUGCUAAGGACACGCUAAGGUCACGUGGUCAUAUAACCGCCCCAUAACCGCCCCGUAACCACCCCGUAACCACCCCGUAAGGACCGACCGACCCCAUAUAGAAAAGAAUGACGUCAUUUAUUGCCAUUUUGGGUGGGUUUCAGACAUUUUUGGGUCAGCGUUGAACCCAACUCAAGACGCAAACCCAAUGGAAGGAUCUAACGGGGUCGUUAUGGGGCGAGUUAUGGGGUCGUUAUGGGGCGAGUUAUGGGGUCGUUAUGGGGUCGUUACGGGAUGACCUUAUAGGGUCAUUAUGGGACGAAUUUAUGGGGUCGUUUUGGGGUCGUUAUAGGACGACCUCAUAGUGUCAUUAUAGGAUGAGCUU